This 1661-nucleotide long non-coding RNA is filed under the name Dasypus novemcinctus (nine-banded armadillo). RNAcentral describes it as "lncRNA (ENSDNOG00000051835.1)". The record is from RNAcentral. Lineage: Eukaryota; Metazoa; Chordata; Mammalia; Cingulata; Dasypodidae.
GCUGUGGCGGCCCCAGCGGCAGCAGGUGUGGAUGGGGCGGAGGUGUGGGACCUUCCACUCCCGCCCGCCCCUGCCGGGGUUCGAGGCCGCGGACCGCCACAGACGGGGUCCCCGGCGCAGCUUUGCGAGCGGCUUCGACCAGCUCACAACUUAGGAUGCGGCCCCGAGCGCGCAGGUCCCACGUUCCGCUCCUGGAAGAGGAAGACGCGCGUCCCCGGCCGCGGCGUCCGCGCGCGCCGUCUUGGACGCGAAAGUGAAGAGGCGGCCGCGAGAAGACCGGGGCUGGGGGACCGGCUGCGGCCCCUGCCGAGGUGCCGGGUCGAGGCCGGGCGGCACCUCUGUCCUCCUAUUAAGACCCGUAGGCUCUCCACCCCUCAUGGAUUGACCUUUGGAUCAUCUACUUCUGGAGUCAGACAUGAAGUAUCUAUCUUUCUUUGAUGAAAAGUUGGUUUAUGCAAUUGUAUGAUAGAGACGGAUUCCCUGGAAGUAUCUCCUCAUGGCCAACGCAGGGCCCUCCACUCCCAAGAGAGAUUCUUCCUCUCCCAUCUCCUGCAGCAAACAGGCCUCCAGGUCCUCCAGCUGUCGAUGAAGAGUCGAGAGCAAUUGGUCCACGAGGGUCGUGUUCCAGGCUGCAGUGGAGCCCUCUGGGUGGAAGAGGUUGAAGAUCUGCUGGAACGUCUCAUGGAGGACGAACUUGGCCUGGAUCUUCUGGACCUGGCUGCCAUUCACCAUCUCCCGGGGGAAUCUGAAGUCAGUCCUGUCCUUCAGGCAGGAAAAAGGGAAGAUUCUCCCCAUUUGUCCCAGAAGCACAGAGGUCUUUCUGCAAACGAGGACAUGGCUCUGAGGCAGGUCACAGCUGAGAGAUGGAACAGGGCCACAGCUGAACACCACCAGGGCCAUCAGCAGAGAGAGCUGGAGGGCCAUUGUGGAAACUGAGGAUGCUGCUGGCCUUGCUGAGCUGGACGUCUGUGUGAGCCUUGGACCCUAGGAGCUCUGAAGAUGCUCUUCCUAGGCAUGGCUUUUAAAGAGGGAACUCAAAGGCUUUCAUUUUCUCAAUGUUUCUCCACACUUUUACUUCCAUUUUUUGUUUUCAUUUACAUGUUCUUCACUUCUCCUGAGAAGAUGUCAUUAAUCUAUACACUUAAUUUUCCAAAAGAAGUUUAGUUUUCCCAGUAAACUUCAAAUGGUCCAAUCUUAAUGAAUACUUAUUGAUCAAAUGUGAAAUGUCUUCUUCCUAAAGUCAGAGUAUAUCUAUGCAUUUAAAUGCACAAACAUACAUUUUUAAACGUAUACAUAUUGCUCUUUCCAUAGUAGGAAUUAAUUUUUGGUCAUCAUCUUGGGUCCAUUUUUAUCCUGCUUAAGAAGUUAGUCUCCUUUGGCCCUAAGGGUUCUGUAUUAGGGAUUUACCAGGACAUCUGUGGCAAAUAAGCUCUUCAAAAUCAAGGACUCAGUAUUGCUCACUUUUUAUUCACAGCAUAGGCUGAUGAUUAUUUGACAAUAAGUUUCUCCUACACUUUUUCUACCUAUAGAAUACAUCCUUGUAGUCCAUGUGGUUAUGUUUCACUGGGGCAUUAAUUUCAGGAUUAUAAUAGUGCACUUUCUUUCCAUCAUUUUCUUACUGGAUGUCGUCAGUGCCUCUCAGGCUAUGCCAAUACUCCUUG